Molecule: long non-coding RNA, 6096 nt
Filed under: Triticum aestivum (bread wheat)
Lineage: Eukaryota; Viridiplantae; Streptophyta; Magnoliopsida; Poales; Poaceae
Description: long non-coding RNA (TAES_LNC003297)
Source: RNAcentral
UUGGGAAGAAAGAAGAAAGGAGGAGGGCCAAAGUAAAAAAAAAAGACAGAACAGAGGAGGGGAUCAAAAAUCCCUAGCGCAGCCGAUCCCCAUCGGGCCUGGCUCAUCUCUCUCUCUCCCUCACCCAUCCUUCUCCACCUCCGGCCGCCGCCACGGCCAGGCCGGCAUGGUGGUGCGCCUCCCACCUCAUCACCCAUCUCCAUCCACCACUCCACCAUCACCUCCAUCCAUCAGCGCUGUGCCACCCAGCACCUCCACCACGCACCACCAGCACCACUCCACAUCCACCUCACGCAACUCACCAGACAGAGGGCCGGCGGUGUCUGAUCCAUCGCGCGCCGAUGCUGGUGCCUCCUUCUUCAACCUGCUGCUUCUUCUUCCUCACCUCCGCUGCUGCUGUCCCUGCUCUUCUUGCGCUCAUGUUGCUGCUCCUCUGAACCCCUCGUACUUCUGCUCCUAAUCUUCUCCAACUUGCUGCUGCUCUGCUUACUCUAUCUCCUUGCACCGCUGCUGCUGCUUCUCCCGCGCGCCCCAACCUGCUGCUGCUCUUCCCCCACGAAUCUGCUACAACUCCACUCUCCAGCGCCUCCUUUGCUGAUUCUUUGCUCUGAACCUCAAGUUGCUACUGCUUCUUCUUCUCACGUCACGGCUGCUGCUCUUCUUUUCUUUCCCCUACUGUUGCUCCUUCUCUGAACCUCACGCGCUGCUCCAUCUCCUAAACGCUGCUGCUUCUUCCUUGGCCUCCUGCUCUGCUCCUAAUCUGAACCAUAAAUUGCUGCUACUCCCCUUCAUUCUCUAAAUUUCUGUAGACUUGAGAUCAUAUGUAAUAUUCAUAUUUGGCUAGUGCUUGAAACUUGCUAUUGGUUCAGAUUUGUAACUGUAUAAUAAUGCUAUGACAUGUUCAGUUUCAGACUGGUGAUUGUUUAGUACUGUAGUACUGUUUUUGUUCAUCGGAGAGUAUUAGAACAGUGCCCUAUAAUACCAUAUUCAUAUUUGUGUGUGUGUGUGUGUGUGUGUGAAAUAUAUUAAUUAUGUACUGCACUUGCUACUGAUUAGUGUCCACUUUACUGUAGACUGUUGCUCAAGUUCCUAUGAUAUAUAUCAUGUUUGACAGUUUAGUCCUCUAGUUAUUGUUGCACUGAUUUAUGUCAAGAAGAUUUGGCUAGUGUGAUGUGAGUCCAGUACAUGUGCUUUAUAAUCCUGUUUGUAACCGGUGUUCAUUUUGUAGUCCCAGUGAUAUAUCUUGUACCUUGUGCUAGCUAUGAACCUGUGAUAUAUAUAUGUGUGUGUUAUGUUCAUGUCCUUUUACUUCUCUUGUCAUUGAUGAUAGCUUUUGUUAGUAUCUUAAUUUCUCAAGCAUUACGAAAAUACCAAAAAGAUUGUUGAAGAUAAUUUGAACCUUCCUUGCUACUGUGUUAUUUUCUUUAUUGUCAACUUUGGUUAGUUUAGGUCUAUAUUUCCUUGCAAUCAUCAUCUAAAUUCUAUUACCUAGCUUUAGCCGAGUAUAGUUGACGUCGCCUAGUCCCUGAGGAGAACACAACACUCACAGUUUGGGCGUAAAAACCCCACUGCACCUACUAUGAUCAUUUUGGCGCCGUUGCCGGGGAGUAGCGUCGAGAGAUUUUGUUAGGCCAUAGACUAGGUUUUUCUUGUUUUUCCCUUUGUGCUAUAUAUUUGUGAUAUAUCUCUAGCCACUAACACCUGUUUUAGUUAGUAUCUUUUUGUCUUCUUUUCCUUUUUGCAGUUGGAUUAUCCUCUCGGUUAUGGCUUACUAUUCAGAUCAUCAGGCUUACGCGAGCAACACUACAAACAGCACGGAAAGUGUUCAAGAACUGAUAGGUAAGAUUUCCCAUCGAUUAGAUGAUUUAGCUCGGCAGCGAGAAGGAGUUUUUGAGGAUAGGCCUAGUUCGUACGAUCCUUAUUCCAGAGGCCAUCCUUAUGUUGCUCCUACUUGCCAUAUUUGUGGAUUUCAGGGCCAUUCGCCCGCUGAAUGUCAGCGUGGCUACUCUCACACUCCGGAUUGUUUUGGCAUGAGCUUCACUCAAGAGCAUAGCUCAUACCAAAACAAUUACUCACAUGGGUGGCCUGAAAUCCCGAAUAUGUCAUAUAGGAGCAACAACACUGAGAUCUCACAGUUUGGUUCUAGUAAUCAUAUGCAGGGAUUCAAGUACAAUGAGGAGAACCACAACUAUGCUCCACAACAGAUUUAUUCACCUCCUACUCAUAUACCUCAAUACCAGGAGAUGUGUCCAAUGGAGUUAAAUGGUCCUCCAUUUCGUCAACCAACAACUCCAGCACCUUUCGAGCAAAGAUGAGUUUGAUGACAUAGACAAGCUCACACUUUUGAGUCUCGAGUUCACUUGGAGUGCCGAGGAUGAUCCUAUUAGGAAGGUUAUACUAGAGGAAAUGAAGAAGAUUAAGAGUGGAAAGGAGCUAGUGGAAGAAGUAAGGAAGAUUGAGAAGAACAUCAAUGCUGGCAGCACUAUUUCUUCACAACUUGAGUUGAGUGUGGCUGAGAUAUCCAUGGAUACAUGUGAGGUUCCAACACCUUCACAUUUCGUUGAGCAAGUUAGCAAGUGCCUUGAGCAAGAGAUACCUCAGAUUGAAGAAGAUGAACUAGAAGACAAGGAACAAGAUGGUCAAGAGCUGCAAUUCCCAAGUGAUCAAGUUGAAGACUCAUCAUCUAUUACUCCUGAAGAAGUACAAGAAGCUGCUGUAGAUGAAGAUGAAGAACAUGAGAUUCAUUUGCCUAUUGUCAUACCAGAGUGUGAUGUGUCAGGUUUACUCAAUCCUCUUGAUGACAUGAUGCCUUGUGAUUUCUUUGCUACCACCUUGCAUUACAUGAUACCAUCACUUAAGAUUGAUUUGAAAACUCAUUUGCUUGGAUAUGAUGAUAUAUACCGUGUUAGUGGAAUUGCUCUCAUUUGUGAUGAUCACAAUUACUUUCCUCAUGCUAGUCUUGAGCUUAAUGAUAAAUGUCAUCCUCGUGUGAGUAUUGACCAUGCUGAUUUCUGCCAUCCUAAACAUGUGCUUUAUAGUUAUGCUUAUAUAAUUGGAUAUUCCAUUGAUGACUUGGAGGGCAUCGACCGUAUCACUUGUAGUUGUUUGUGUGAGUCCUAUUUCAGGCUUUUGCUACUACACUGUUUACUACAUGCUGACCAGGUUCGAGGUGACAUUCCUUGGGAUCCUGGUGGAGUCAGAGCAUGGCGAUGAGGGGAGCACAAACAGGGAACACAAACAGAGAAGAGUGGAGAGAAGAAAGUAGGAGAGAAGAGUAUACAAAUACCAGGUGAUUCUGUUCCACUUGAAGCAACCUUUAGAAAAUUUAGUACGAGAACUGGCAUUUUAUUGCAUUGAAACACUUUUUGCAUUGUGACACCUUACUCUUCACUGCAAAGUAGGAUUCACUCCAAGAAGAUUGUUGAUUCUCUUAAUACUAAAACUAUGCAGCUGUAUUCUUCUUAUGGUAAUUUGUGAUAAUGAAUACUUUAUACCUCCAUGUAAAUGUUCAAUGGGAAUGCGUUGAGUCUAAGUGAAACCUACUAAUGAAUUGAUGUGCUGUGUCUGACUGUCCGAAGUUAAGCUAAGUAACUGGUGGCACUUAAGUAGUAGCUAUGAUCUCUGGAUCUGUAGUAUGUGAAAAACAGUGCCAUUAGCUAUGGAUUCCUCUUUCAAUUAUUCCUAUUUUACUUAAGCUAAGUAAUUUUCAAAUAACUAUAUAAAAUAAUUAUAAUAAUUUAAGUCCGAUCGACCUAUAGUAGCAUGUCAUGUUCCCUGGAUCGGUGGCUUGUGAAAUCUGGUAGAUUGGACUGUAAAAAAAUUUAUAUAAAAAAUGCUAUAAUUUGUCGAACCAGGUGUAUACCAUGUUCUCGGGAUCGGUGGUAUGUUCCUUAGGGGAGAUAAUAACAAAAAAAUAUGCUAAUAAUUUGUCGAACCAGGUGUAUACCAUGUUCUCGGGAUCAGUCGUAUGUUCCUUUGGGGAGAUAACAAAAAAAAUAUACUAAUAAUUUGGUCGAGCCAGGUGUAUACCAUGUUCUCGGGAUCGGUGGUAUGUUCCUUUGGUGAGACUGAUAUAAUAUCAUCACUUGUGCUUUAAAUUCAAUAAGUAACUUGUUUUUCUAAUUGAUUUUGGGGUCCCAGCUUAUCUCAGGGCUGAAGACAGAGCCAGCUCUUGAUUAUUAGUAUUCACUUUGACUCAAGGCCAUUGACUUGGAACAUUUACAGUGUGUUAUAAAAUAUUUCUUAUCACAAUUUAGCUUUAGUAGAGUACAUUUGCUUAGUUCCAGUAUUGUCGGAAUUACUAUCUAUCGGAAAGUGCAUCUUUACUAGGCAGUGUGAGUUGUGUCACCAUCAAUUUUUUUUCCUUUGCUUGAGGACAAGCAAAGAUUUAAGUGUGGGGGAACUUGAUAAGCACAUUUCUUAUAUACUAUUUGGGCACACAAAUUCACCUUUUAUUGAGAUAUAUCCAUCCAUUCUUGCUAUGACUUGUUGAAUAUUCGAAUGAUAAUCAUAAAAGAGAAUGUUGACUAGUGAAUUGUUUAUUUUGCAGAAGAGUGCGCAAAGGCACUAUAAUCGUCAAGACUUCUACUAUGUGGCUAACGAGAAGAGAGAAGGGCAUGAAAGAAAUACGUCAAGGCUUGAGCGUGAAGGAAAGAAGUAAUGUAGGGGAGCAAACUAAAAGAAGAGGAGGAUCUUCUUGGGAAGAGAGAAGAAAGGAGGAGGGCCAAAGUAAAAAAAAGACACAACAGAGGAGGGGAUCAAAAAUCCCUAGCGCAGCCGAUCCCCAUCGGGCCUGGCUCAUCUCUCUCUCUCCCUCACCCCUCCUUCUCCACCUCCGGCCGCCACCACGGCCAGGCCGGCGUGUUGGUGCGCCUCCCACCUCAUCACCCAUCUCCAUCCACCACUCCACCAUCACCUCCAUCCAUCAGCGCCGUGCCACCCAGCACCUCCACCAUGCACCACCAGCACCACUCCAGAUCCACCUCACGCAACUCACCAGACAGAGGGUCGGCGGUGUCUGAUCCAUCGCGCGCCCGAUGCUGGUGCCUCCUUCUUCAACCUGCUGCUUCUUCUUCCUCACCUCCGCUGCUGUUGCUCCUGCUCUUCUUGCGCUCAUGUUGCUGCUCCUCUGAACCCCUCGUACUGCUGCUCCUAAUCUUCUCCAACUUGCUGCUGCUCUGCUUACUCUAUCUCCUUGCACCGCUGCUGCUGCUUCUCCCGCGCGCCCCAACCUGCUGCUGCUCUUCCCCCACGAAUCUGCUACAGCUCCACUCUCUAGGGCCUCCUUUGCUGAUUCUUUGCUCUGAACCUCAAGUUGCUACUGCUUCUUCUUCUCACGUCACUGCUACUGCUCUUCUUUUCUUUCCCCUACUGUUGCUCCUUCUCUGAACCUCACGAUGCUGCUCCAUCUCCUAAACGCUGCUGCUUCUUCCUUGGCCUCCUGCUCUGCUCCUAAUCUGAACCAUAAAUUGCUGCUACUCCCCUUCAUUCUCUAAAUUUCUGUAGACUUGAGAUCAUAUGUAAUAUUCAUAUUUGGCUAGUGCUUGAAACUUGCUAUUGGUUCAGAUUUGUAACUGUAUAAUAAUGCUAUGACAUGUUCAGUUUUAGACUGGUGAUUGUUUAGUACUGUAGUACUGUUUUUGUUCAUCGGAGAGUAUUAGAACAGUGCCCUGUAAUACCAUGUUCUUAUUUGUGUGUGUGUGUGUGUGUGAAAUAUAUUAAUUAUGUACUGCACUUGCUACUGAUUAGUGUCCAGUUUACUGUAGACUGUUGCUCAAGUUCCUGUGAUAUAUAUCAUGUUUGACAGUUUAGUCUUCUAGUUAUUGUUGCACUGAUUUAUGUCAAGAAGAUUUGGCUAGUGUGAUGUGAGUCCAGUACAUGUGCUUUAUAAUCCUGUUUGUAACCGGUGUUCAUUUUGUAGUCCCAGUGAUAUAUCUUGUACCUUGUGCUAGCUAUGAACCUGUGAUAUAUAUGUGUGUGUUAUGUUCAUGUCCUUUUACUUCUCUUGUCAUUGAUGAUAGCUUUUGUUAGUAUCUUAAUUUCUCAAGCAUUACGAAAAUACCAAAAAGAUUGUUGAAGAUAAUUUGAACCUUCCUU